GACGAACGCUGGCGGCGUGCUUAACACAUGCAAGUCGAACGGAAAGGCCCUGCUUUUGUGGGGUGCUCGAGUGGCGAACGGGUGAGUAACACGUGAGUAACCUGCCCUUGACUUUGGGAUAACUUCAGGAAACUGGGGCUAAUACCGGAUAGGAGCUCCUGCUGCAUGGUGGGGGUUGGAAAGUUUCGGCGGUUGGGGAUGGACUCGCGGCUUAUCAGCUUGUUGGUGGGGUAGUGGCUGACCAAGGCUUUGACGGGUAGCCGGCCUGAGAGGGUGGACGGCGACAAUGGGACUGAGAUACGGCCCAGACGCCUACGGGAGGCAGCAGUGGGGAAUAUUGCACAAUGGGCGGAAGCCUGAUGCAGCAACGCCGCGUGCGGGAUGACGGCCUUCGGGUUGUAAACCGCUUUCGCCUGUGACGAAGCGUGAGUGACGGUAAUGGGUAAAGAAGCACCGGCUAACUACGUG
Molecule: ribosomal RNA, 468 nt
Filed under: uncultured bacterium
Lineage: Bacteria
Description: partial 16S ribosomal RNA
Rfam family: Bacterial small subunit ribosomal RNA
Source: RNAcentral